This 308-nucleotide long non-coding RNA is filed under the name Pan troglodytes (chimpanzee). RNAcentral's name for it is "long non-coding RNA NONPTRT013570". Lineage: Eukaryota; Metazoa; Chordata; Mammalia; Primates; Hominidae. The record is from RNAcentral.
UGAUGAUGGAACAAGGUAGGAAAAAAACACAUAAAAUGAGACUUGACAGAAUAAAUAUAUUAUAAAAGUGAAAUUUGAAGGUAAAGAGGACACAAUUUAAAUGUGUAAGAAAUUAGAAACUUCAUCUCUUCUGGUGAGUAGCUACUUGAAGCUCUGUUCCAACCUGGCAAAACCAGACAGUAAAUUAAAAACAAAAAGACUUGGGAUCCAGGAAAUAAGGCUUCAACCUAAGAAAACAAUUAGAACAUUUGAUAAAGUGUGAAGCCAAGCCAAGCCUUCACUCUGCCAGUCUGCAUGGCUGCAGGCUU